This 400-nucleotide ribosomal RNA is filed under the name uncultured bacterium. Its description in RNAcentral is "bacterial SSU rRNA". It matches the Rfam family "Bacterial small subunit ribosomal RNA", at positions 358 to 774 of the family's 1533-position model. The record is from RNAcentral.
GGGAUAUUGCGCAAUGGGGGAAACCCUGACGCAGCAACGCCGCGUGGAGGAUGACGGUUUUCGGAUUGUAAACUCCUUUUAUGGGGGACGAAUCAAGACGGUACCCCAUGAAUAAGCUCCGGCUAACUACGUGCCAGCAGCCGCGGUAAUACGUAGGGAGCAAGCGUUGUCCGGAUUUACUGGGUGUAAAGGGUGCGUAGGCGGCUUGGCAAGUCAGGUGUGAAAUGCAGAGGCUCAACCUCUGACCUGCACUUGAAACUGUCAGGCUUGAGUGAUGUAGAGGCAGGCGGAAUUCCCUGUGUAGCGGUGAAAUGCGUAGAGAUAGGGAGGAACACCAGUGGCGAAGGCGGCCUGCUGGGCAUUAACUGACGCUGAGGCACGAAAGCGUGGGUAGCAAACA